Non-coding RNA from Octopus bimaculoides (California two-spot octopus), 106 nucleotides. The record is from Rfam. NCBI's taxonomy places the organism in Eukaryota, Metazoa, Mollusca, Cephalopoda, Octopoda, Octopodidae.
ACAUAUAGAUCAGUUUGUACUCACUAAAAUUGGAAUGAUACAGAAAAGAGUAGCAUGGCCCCUGCGCAAGGAUGACACGCAAAUUCGAGAAGCGUUCCAUAUCUUU